Molecule: ribosomal RNA, 695 nt
Filed under: uncultured organism
Description: bacterial SSU rRNA
Rfam family: Bacterial small subunit ribosomal RNA
Source: RNAcentral
GGCCUCUUCGGAGGGUAAUCAGCGGCAGACGGGUGAGUAACACGUAGGUGACCUGCCCUAAAGCUGGGGAUAACGGAUGGAAACAUACGCUAAUACCCAAUAGACCUGUGAGGUCGCACUCAUAGGUAAAGCUCCGGCGCUUUAGGAGGGGCUGCGGCCCAUCAGCUAGUUGGUAGGGUAACGGCCUACCAAGGCGAAGACGGGUAGGGGGUGUGAGAGCACGACCCCCCACAAUGGGACUGAGACACGGCCCAUACUUCUACGGGAGGCAGCAGCAGGGAAUAUUGCACAAUGGACGCAAGUCUGAUGCAGCGACGCCGCGUGGAUGAUGAAGGCCCUCGGGUCGUAAAAUCCUUUUCAGGGGGACGAGGAAGGACGGUACCCCUGGAAUAAGCGUCGGCUAACUACGUGCCAGCAGCCGCGGUAAGACGUAGGACGCAAGCGUUAUCCGGAUUUACUGGGCGUAAAGCGUCUGUAGGCGGUUCGAUAAGUUGGGCGUGAAAGCUCCGGGCUUAACCCGGAGAGGUCGUUCAAUACUGUCGAACUAGAGGACAUCAGAGGAGCAUGGAAUUUCCGGUGUAGCGGUAAAAUGCGCAGAUAUCGGAAGGAACACCAGUGGCGAAGGCGGUGCUCUGGGGUGGGCCUGACGCUGAGAGACGAAAGCUAGGGGAGCGAACAGGAUUAGAGACCCUGGU